Acanthosepion pharaonis is the source of this 108-nucleotide non-coding RNA. The record is from the annotation of a GenBank genome assembly. NCBI's taxonomy places the organism in Eukaryota, Metazoa, Mollusca, Cephalopoda, Sepiida, Sepiidae.
AGCCCUAUCACAUUGAAACACCGGUUCUUGUACUAUCACUGAAGUUAAGCAAUGUCAAGCCUGGUCAGUACCUAGAUGGGUAACCACUUGGGAAUACCAGGUGUUAUA